Peromyscus eremicus (cactus mouse) is the source of this 1086-nucleotide long non-coding RNA. RefSeq lists it as uncharacterized. The transcript is spliced from 2 exons. NCBI's taxonomy places the organism in Eukaryota, Metazoa, Chordata, Mammalia, Rodentia, Cricetidae. The record is from RefSeq and is a predicted model, not a curated record.
UUUGCCAAGGUUCUGCAUUGUGUCUGUGCAGAACCCAUGCCUGGACCAUAGCUUCCUGGCCUCUGCUUCAUUGUGAUCUGAACAUUCUAGAACAUAUCCACCUCCCAUGGUCACAUUCCAGACCCAGUCCCAGUGGAGGGAUGGGAUAUCUUUCCUCCUCCUAGUGUCCUUGAGGCAGGCAAGCUUAGAGGUAUCUUAGCAACCUGGGGAGUCUACUUGACUCAGGCUACGCACUCACUCAUCUCCUAACAAUGCAUCUAGAAUCCCAGGACUCUGUAUCGAGCUGCGUGUACACCCCACUUCAAACAGUGGGAUAAGUCUCUUCCCCCUUAACGUAUCCUCUGUCAAUCACCCCCUAAAGAAAGAUCUGUCCCAUUUAACGGUUCCUGCCCAUGUCAGUCAGCUGUCUGUUGUGAAACACAGAACCUGAGUUGGUCAAACUCAUAAGGAAGAAAGGUUUGCCCUGGCUUACAGUUUCCGAAGCUUCAGUCCGUGCUCACUUGGCCUCACUGCUUUGGACCUGUGGCGGUAAGGAGUGGGCAGCCAGGAAAGUGUCAGAGGAAGAGAGCUGACAUUCCCAACAUCACAGCUGGAAUGUCUCUAACAAACAAGGUCACCCAGCCAUCAAAGCCAUUCAUCAAACAAGGCCAUAUGUUUUUGAUUAUUUCUGUCCUGGCUGGUGAAAUGCACCUAUUACCAGAGAGGACAGCGAGGCUGCAGAUACCAGCACAAUGGACAGCAAGCAGGCUCCUCACAGCCCUGGGAUCUUAUGCAGGUAAAUGGAGAAGACAAGGCAGAAGUGGACCACAUGCGAGAGCGGAUUGAGCCAGCCUGACACACUCAGCAAUGCCCCCCCUCCUCAGAAUGGUUACCUUUCUUUCCAACGCAGUGGGAAAAGCUCUGUCCCCUUGGUGGGAGGUAAACCCCAUAGCCAUCACUAAGUCAAGCCUCCUCUAAAACUUAAGAAAAUCUUCAGUGAAAACUAGUUUUGGAUUCUCCAAUACCCCUAAGACUGCUAUUCUUUAUGGGUACAGACCAAUCCCUACUUAUCUUUCACUUCCUAAAGUAAAUAUUUAUCUAAUUUAA